RNAcentral lists this ribosomal RNA (253 nucleotides) under uncultured bacterium. RNAcentral describes it as "partial 16S ribosomal RNA". It matches the Rfam family "Bacterial small subunit ribosomal RNA", at positions 524 to 776 of the family's 1533-position model. The record is from RNAcentral.
UACGAAGGGGGCUAGCGUUGCUCGGAAUGACUGGGCGUAAAGGGCGCGUAGGCGGGAUGGCAAGUCGGUCGUGAAAUCCUUCGGCUCAACCGAAGAACGUCGGCCGAUACUGCCGUUCUUGAGGGAUGCAGAGGAGAUUGGAAUUCCCGGUGUAGCGGUGAAAUGCGUAGAGAUCAUGAGGAAGACCAGUGGCGAAGGCGGGUCUCUGGGCCGAUACUGACGCUGAGGAGCGAAAGCAUGGGUAGCGAACAGG